UCGAACGAGCGAGAGAGAGCUUGCUUUCUCGAGCGAGUGGCGAACGGGUGAGUAACGCGUGAGGAACCUGCCUCAAAGAGGGGGACAACAGUUGGAAACGACUGCUAAUACCGCAUAAGCCCACGGUGCUGCAUGGCACAGAGGGAAAAGGAGCAAUCCGCUUUGAGAUGGCCUCGCGUCCGAUUAGCUAGUUGGUGAGGUAACGGCCCACCAAGGCGACGAUCGGUAGCCGGACUGAGAGGUUGAACGGCCACAUUGGGACUGAGACACGGCCCAGACUCCUACGGGAGGCAGCAGUGGGGAAUAUUGCACAAUGGGGGAAACCCUGAUGCAGCGACGCCGCGUGGAGGAAGAAGGUCUUCGGAUUGUAAACUCCUGUUGUUGGGGAAGAUAAUGACGGUACCCAACAAGGAAGUGACGGCUAACUACGUGCCAGCAGCCGCGGUAAAACGUAGGUCACAAGCGUUGUCCGGAAUUACUGGGUGUAAAGGGAGCGCAGGCGGGAAGACAAGUUGGAAGUGAAAUCUAUGGGCUCAACCCAUAAACUGCUUUCAAAACUGUUUUUCUUGAGUAGUGCAGAGGUAGGCGGAAUUCCCGGUGUAGCGGUGGAAUGCGUAG
RNAcentral lists this ribosomal RNA (618 nucleotides) under uncultured Lachnospiraceae bacterium. RNAcentral's name for it is "bacterial SSU rRNA". It matches the Rfam family "Bacterial small subunit ribosomal RNA", at positions 62 to 693 of the family's 1533-position model. The record is from RNAcentral. Lineage: Bacteria; Bacillati; Bacillota; Clostridia; Lachnospirales; Lachnospiraceae.